This 218-nucleotide ribosomal RNA is filed under the name uncultured bacterium. RNAcentral describes it as "partial 16S ribosomal RNA". It matches the Rfam family "Bacterial small subunit ribosomal RNA", at positions 57 to 305 of the family's 1533-position model. The record is from RNAcentral.
GCAAGUCGAACGAUCCUUCGGGAUAGUGGCAGACGGGUGAGUAACGCGUGGGAAUCUACCAUAUUCUACGGAACAACAGUUAGAAAUGACUGCUAAUACCGUAUACGCCCUCCGGGGGAAAGAUUUAUCGGAGUAUGAUGAGCCCGCGUUUGAUUAGCUAGUUGGUGAGGUAAUGGCUCACCAAGGCUACGAUCAAUAGCUGGUCUGAGAGGAUGAUC